CUGCUGUGCUCAACCCGCCGCUACCAACCUCGGGGAAGUGAAGACGUCUGUAUCCAGGUGACCUCUGUUCCAGCCUCUUUGGUGCCCUACAGUCUGUCUUUCUCUGCCCGGGUGUCCUCUCCUCGUCCAGUCUCUAAAGUAGAGUCCAACUGUCCUCUGGACGCUCUCCAGUACCUCAACACAGAGCAAACCCAGGCUUCGGUCAAGUUGGCUGCAGGACACAAGUUUGACAGAGAUGUUGACACUGCUGAUUUAUUACAAAGAUGCCCAC
Long non-coding RNA from Etheostoma spectabile (orangethroat darter), 271 nucleotides. RefSeq lists it as uncharacterized. The record is from RefSeq and is a predicted model, not a curated record. The transcript is spliced from 3 exons. NCBI's taxonomy places the organism in Eukaryota, Metazoa, Chordata, Actinopteri, Perciformes, Percidae.